CUGGUAGUCCACGCUGUAAACGAUGUCGAUUUGGAGUUUGUUGCCUAGAGUGAUGGGCUCCGAAGCUAACGCGAUAAAUCGACCGCCUGGGAGUACGGCCGCAAGGUAAACUCAAAUGAAAUGACGGGGGCCCGCACAGCGGUGGAGCAUGUGGUUUAUUCGAUGCAACGCGAAGAACCUUACUUGGUCUUGACAUCCAUAGAAUUCUGCAGAGAUGUGGGAGUGCCUUCGGGAACUAUGAGACAGGUGCUGCAUGGCUGUCGUCAGCUCGUGUUGUGAAAUGUUGGGUUAAGUCCCGCAACGAGCGCAACCCUUAUUCUUUGUUGCCAGCGAUUUGGUCGGGAACUCAAAGGAGACUGCCGUUGAUAAAGCGGAGGAAGGUGGGGACGACGUCAAGUCAUCAUGGCCCUUACGACCAGGGCUACACACGUGCUACAAUGGCGUAUACAAAGGGAAGCGAAGGUGCGAGCUGGAGCGGAUCUCAUAAAGUACGUCUAAGUUCGGAUUGGAGUCUGCAACUCGACUCCAUGAAGUCGGAAUCGCUAGUAAUCGUAGAUCAGAAUGCUACGGUGAAUACGUUCCCGGGCCUUGUACACACCGCCCGUCACACCAUGGGAGUGGGUUGCACCAGAAGUAGAUAGCUUAACCGCGAGGGGGGCGUUUACCACGGUGUGAUUCAUGACUGGGGUGAAGUCGUAACAAGGUAACCA
RNAcentral lists this ribosomal RNA (710 nucleotides) under uncultured Enterobacteriaceae bacterium. RNAcentral's name for it is "bacterial SSU rRNA". It matches the Rfam family "Bacterial small subunit ribosomal RNA", at positions 787 to 1502 of the family's 1533-position model. Lineage: Bacteria; Pseudomonadati; Pseudomonadota; Gammaproteobacteria; Enterobacterales; Enterobacteriaceae. The record is from RNAcentral.